Molecule: ribosomal RNA, 253 nt
Filed under: uncultured bacterium
Lineage: Bacteria
Description: partial 16S ribosomal RNA
Rfam family: Bacterial small subunit ribosomal RNA
Source: RNAcentral
UACGAAGGGGGCUAGCGUUGCUCGGAAUUACUGGGCGUAAAGCGCACGUAGGCGGCUUUCUAAGUCGGGGGUGAAAUCCUGGAGCUCAACUCCAGAACUGCCUUCGAUACUGGAGAGCUCGAGUCCGGGAGAGGUGAGUGGAACUGCGAGUGUAGAGGUGAAAUUCGUAGAUAUUCGCAAGAACACCAGUGGCGAAGGCGGCCAACUGGUCCGGCACUGACGCUGAGGUGCGAAAGCGUGGGGAGCAAACAGG